AUUUUCUUAGUAUAAUUAGUACAGGUGGCUUCCAACCAUCAAGCCCUAGUUGAACCCCGGGAGAAAAUA
RNAcentral lists this transfer RNA (69 nucleotides) under Kalophrynus palmatissimus. RNAcentral describes it as "tRNA-Gly". Lineage: Eukaryota; Metazoa; Chordata; Amphibia; Anura; Microhylidae. The record is from RNAcentral.